RNAcentral lists this long non-coding RNA (892 nucleotides) under Brassica napus (rape). Its description in RNAcentral is "long non-coding RNA (BNAP_LNC013813)". The record is from RNAcentral. Lineage: Eukaryota; Viridiplantae; Streptophyta; Magnoliopsida; Brassicales; Brassicaceae.
ACAGUCGCAGCUUUACCGUCUGUUGCAGUCCCUAUCGAACUCUUAACCACUGGCUUUGUAGCACAUGUCGCUACAUUCUCUGUCGCACCAGCAUAUACAAAAACACAUCCACCUUUAGAAGAUUCUCCUUUGAAUCCAAGACCACACCGAUCACUCUGCCCAAUGCUGAGAAGAUGAUCCAACUGAUCCGUACCAUUAUUAAGCAUCCUCAAACCUUUCUGAGUUUCUUCAAGUUGAACUAUAGCUUGGGUUGCUUUUUCUUCUUUCUCUGAAGCAUGUUUCAAUGCUUCACUAAUCAAAGCUUCUAGCUUGAUUUCUCCUUAGCCAACACAGAAUUCUCCUCAACCAUCGUGAGCCAAUAUGCAUACAAUGUCUUGUAGUUCUUAGCAAGAUCUACAUCAUCAAAACUUCCAGCAUCAUCAUCACUUCCAACAACAUCAUCACCCCUACGUGUAGACUCUAACACAGACGAUGACACAGAUCCCGCCGCAGAUUUCUUAUCAGAACUAAGAUCCAAAGUUGUGAACGCCACAAAAUUCCUCAAAUUCUCACCACGAUCUGAAUCAGUAUCAGAAUCACUCUUGUUGUUCCUCUUCUUCUCAUGCCUCUGCAAAUUUGGACAUAUUAACCAAACAUGUCCAACCCCAUUGUACUCAUAGCAUCGUAACUUUGAUGGUGAUCUUCUUAAAUCACCUCUUUUUCCAUUUUUCCUUUUGCCUCGCUGAUGCUACAGAUACUCAACCAUGUUUCUUGACAGCAUCGCCAUAGGAUCUUCAGAAGAUGAAACUUUCAAAGCAACACUAUAAGGAUCUUCUUUCUUCUUAUCCUUAUCUUUCUCUACAUAUGACUUGCUCAACUCAAAAGCUUACGGAAUCCUAACAAACUCAUCAAA